AGGGAUUUAGCUCAGCGGCAUAAGCGCCUGCCUUGCAAGCAGGCAGUCCUGAGUUCGAUCCCUGGUACCCAUA
RNAcentral lists this transfer RNA (73 nucleotides) under Cavia porcellus (domestic guinea pig). It matches the Rfam family "tRNA". Rfam says of the family: Transfer RNA (tRNA) molecules are approximately 80 nucleotides in length. Lineage: Eukaryota; Metazoa; Chordata; Mammalia; Rodentia; Caviidae. The record is from Rfam by way of RNAcentral.